Molecule: ribosomal RNA, 1363 nt
Filed under: uncultured bacterium
Lineage: Bacteria
Description: bacterial SSU rRNA
Rfam family: Bacterial small subunit ribosomal RNA
Source: RNAcentral
AUUGAACGCUGGCGGCAGGCCUAACACAUGCAAGUCGAACGGUAACAGGAAGCAGCUUGCUGCUUCGCUGACGAGUGGCGGACGGGUGAGUAAUGUCUGGGAAGCUGCCUGAUGGAGGGGGAUAACUACUGGAAACGGUAGCUAAUACCGCAUAAUGUCGCAAGACCAAAGAGGGGGACCUUCGGGCCUCUUGCCAUCGGAUGUGCCCAGAUGGGAUUAGCUUGUUGGUGGGGUAACGGCUCACCAAGGCGACGAUCCCUAGCUGGUCUGAGAGGAUGACCAGCCACACUGGAACUGAGACACGGUCCAGACUCCUACGGGAGGCAGCAGUGGGGAAUAUUGCACAAUGGGCGCAAGCCUGAUGCAGCCAUGCCGCGUGUAUGAAGAAGGCCUUCGGGUUGUAAAGUACUUUCAGCGGGGAGGAAGGGAGUAAAGUUAAUACCUUUGCUCAUUGACGUUACCCGCAGAAGAAGCACCGGCUAACUCCGUGCCAGCAGCCGCGGUAAUACGGAGGGUGCAAGCGUUAAUCGGAAUUACUGGGCGUAAAGCGCACGCAGGCGGUUUGUUAAGUCAGAUGUGAAAUCCCCGGGCUCAACCUGGGAACUGCAUCUGAUACUGGCAAGCUUGAGUCUCGUAGAGGGGGGUAGAAUUCCAGGUGUAGCGGUGAAAUGCGUAGAGAUCUGGAGGGAUACCGGUGGCGAAGGCGGCCCCCUGGACGAAGACUGACGCUCAGGUGCGAAAGCGUGGGGAGCAAACAGGAUUAGAUACCCUGGUAGUCCACGCCGUAAACGAUGUCGACUUGGAGGUUGUGCCCUUGAGGCGUGGCUUCCGGAGCUAACGCGUUAAGUCGACCGCCUGGGGAGUACGGCCGCAAGGUUAAAACUCAAAUGAAUUGACGGGGGCCCGCACAAGCGGUGGAGCAUGUGGUUUAAUUCGAUGCAACGCGAAGAACCUUACCUGGUCUUGACAUCCACGGAAGUUUUCAGAGAUGAGAAUGUGCCUUCGGGAACCGUGAGACAGGUGCUGCAUGGCUGUCGUCAGCUCGUGUUGUGAAAUGUUGGGUUAAGUCCCGCAACGAGCGCAACCCUUAUCCUUUGUUGCCAGCGGUCCGGCCGGGAACUCAAAGGAGACUGCCAGUGAUAAACUGGAGGAAGGUGGGGAUGACGUCAAGUCAUCAUGGCCCUUACGACCAGGGCUACACACGUGCUACAAUGGCGCAUACAAAGAGAAGCGACCUCGCGAGAGCAAGCGGACCUCAUAAAGUGCGUCGUAGUCCGGAUUGGAGUCUGCAACUCGACUCCAUGAAGUCGGAAUCGCUAGUAAUCGUGGAUCAGAAUGCCACGGUGAAUACGUUCCCGGGCCU